Long non-coding RNA from Sceloporus undulatus (fence lizard), 678 nucleotides. RefSeq lists it as uncharacterized. Lineage: Eukaryota; Metazoa; Chordata; Lepidosauria; Squamata; Phrynosomatidae. The transcript is spliced from 6 exons. The record is from RefSeq and is a predicted model, not a curated record.
CCUUGGCUGGCGCAAGGCUCCCAGUUUGCGCAGGCGCAGUGCGCUUUCCCCUUUCCAUCGUUGGCAGAGGUCGAAAAUGGCGGCGCUGAGGGUCCCUCUGGGAGAGGAAAAGAGGAGAGGACUCCCAUGGCUACCUUCUGGGGAAGGCCUCGCAGCUACAUGUCCCUCUCUGACAGACAUACCAAGACAGGCAGUCAUGAAGAUGUAACAUUUCAUCACGUUAACAUGAAAACACAGCAAAUUCCUUUCGCCAAGAAGAUGAAGUCUGUGUCAGCCACAUAUUCAUGAUUUGUUUACCCAGUGAGAACAGAUCAUUACCUGCAUUUGGAGGUGCACUUCAGAAAUAACAUCUAUCUAGUUUGAACACAAUGAUUGUUUUCCAUUGGAUUGUGUCAGAGUCCUGGCUUAGAGAUGGAAAGAGAUGUGGGGAGGAAGAGGACCAGCACUACAUGAUAGAAUGAUGUCACAUCCUAUAUGACAGUGGAACAUCCUUGGAACUAUUAAUUCUAGAGGGAUUUCUGUUUCUCCGGUUACACAGCAUGUCCAAGGGAUUUGGGGACUGCAAGUUGCUCAUCCAUUCUCUAGUGCUCAUUUUUAACCAGAAGUGCCUGGAAAUAUGGGGCCAUCCUGCCACGUUUUCCCCGUGUGCAUUUAACAAUAAAGCAAAUUGAUCAGAAA